UCACUUACCUGGACGGGGUCGACUCGUGAUCAAGAAGACGAGUGGCCUAGGCUAGUGACCUCCAUUGCACUGAGGAGGGGCGCUUAGCCUAAGGUCUCCCCAAGUGGGAGAGCCUGCGUCAUUAUUUGUGGCAGAGGGAGCCUGCGUCCGCGCGGCUCCUAC
RNAcentral lists this small nuclear RNA (162 nucleotides) under Brassica napus (rape). RNAcentral's name for it is "snRNA U1". It matches the Rfam family "U1 spliceosomal RNA". Rfam says of the family: U1 is a small nuclear RNA (snRNA) component of the spliceosome (involved in pre-mRNA splicing). The record is from Rfam by way of RNAcentral. Lineage: Eukaryota; Viridiplantae; Streptophyta; Magnoliopsida; Brassicales; Brassicaceae.